RNAcentral lists this ribosomal RNA (119 nucleotides) under Pteropus alecto (black flying fox). Lineage: Eukaryota; Metazoa; Chordata; Mammalia; Chiroptera; Pteropodidae. The record is from RNAcentral.
GUCUAUGGCCAUGCUACCCUGAACAAACCUGAUCCCAUCUGAUCUUGGAAGCUAAGUAGGGUUGGGCUUGGUUAGUACUUGGAUGGGAGACCACCUAGGAAGACCAGGUGCUGUAGGUG